GGAGUCGGCCAGGCAAUCGCUCGCUUAGGCGGGAGGAAAGUCCGGGCUCCGGCGGGCAGGGUGCCAGGUAACGCCUGGGGGGCGCGAGCCCACGGAAAGUGCCACAGAAAAGAUACCGCCUGAUCUCCUCUUUGAGGCGCCAGGUAAGGGUGAAAUGGUGCGGUAAGAGCGCACCGCGCGGGUGGCAACACGCCGCGGCACGGUAAACCCCAUCCGGAGCAAGACCAAAUAGGGAAGCGUAUGCCCCGCCCGCGGGUGCUUCCGGGUAGGUCGCUUGAGGUCACCGGCGACGGUGAUCCCAGAUGAAUGAUUGCCCUCGACAGAACCCGGCUUAUCGGCCGACUCCUUUU
Molecule: RNase P RNA, 350 nt
Filed under: Gammaproteobacteria bacterium
Lineage: Bacteria; Pseudomonadati; Pseudomonadota; Gammaproteobacteria
Description: RNase P RNA component class A
Rfam family: Bacterial RNase P class A
About the family: Ribonuclease P (RNase P) is a ubiquitous endoribonuclease, found in archaea, bacteria and eukarya as well as chloroplasts and mitochondria. Its best characterised activity is the generation of mature 5'-ends of tRNAs by cleaving the 5'-leader elements of precursor-tRNAs. Cellular RNase Ps are ribonucleoproteins.
Source: RNAcentral